AACCCUUUGAUCUGAGAAGUUUAUUGAUAUGAGGUUGGGGACUUGAAGGAGGCCAUGUCGCAAGAAACCCUUUAAGCCUUUUACAGAACUCACUGCAUAAAUCUGUUGUGGUGCUUGAGAGAUCAAGUUGAAAAAAUGAAAAAAUAUAUUCAAUUUUAGACAUGCAAAACCAAUCUAUGUUCUUGCUACAUACACAUACACACAUAAAACUAAUAAUUGAGGGAUGGAGAACUAACCUGUAAUCUAAUCUGUAUGUUUCUACAUACACAAACAGCCAAAUAUACAUACACACAUAAAACUAAUAAUUAAGGGAUGAAGAAGUAACCUGUAAUCCAAUCUGUAUGUUUGUUACAUACACAAACAGCCAAAUACACAUACACACAUAAAACUAAUAAUUGAGGGAUGAAGAACUAACCUGUAAUCCAAUCUGUAUGUUUGCUACAUACACAAACAGCCAAAUACCACUAUCUGCUCCAUUCAUUUUUGCUCCAACCACCAAACACCACCAUUGACCAUCUUCCUGUUUGCAUCUGUUCUGUACCAUCACAUGCUCAACUACUCCACCAUUUUAGCAACAUAAACAACCGAGAACCAGAACAAAACCACCUACAUCUUCAAUCCAUCGUUCUUGAUAACUUCACAAAUGACCAAGGGACCAAAAUUUUGGUCAAGAAAUUACCCGAAUCCAAAUACCCUUCACUCAGGCAAUUAAUCGAACACUUGGUGGGCAGAUGGUUUCAUACACAAAAAAAUUAAAGAUUUUGGUCAAGAAAUUACCCGAAUCAAAUACCCUUCUUCCCUACCUGUUACAACUGUUACAACCGAGACACAAAUCCAACUAACAAUUCAAAAAGAUGAAGAAACAACAAAUGAUUUUAGAAAGAUGAAGAAAGAACAAACAAUUUUAAAAAAUCAUUAUGUGAUGUUGCAGAAAGAACAAACAAUUUUUAAAAGAACAAAUGAUCUAAUGUCGACUAACCUUUGCAGAAGCUGUCGACGAACCAAAAGUUGUCGCCGUCGAUUGAAGUUGUCGACGCGAUGCUCGGAAACGGAAGUUGUCGCCGGUUUACUUCAUUCGUUGAGUCGAGAGAGGGAACGCGAAUGAGAGAGGUAACAUGAUGAUCGGAAGAGAAGCUAAGGGUGCAAGAGAAGGACGGAGGAUAUAGGAGAAGCAGACAAAGCGGGAAUCCAAAAUUGGGUGAAACGGGAAUGAAAAUUUUGGAGGUCAGACUCGAAAUAUUUGUGGGAAAAGGAAGAGGAUAACCUAGAAAUAUUUGGGAAGCUAAAAAAACAAAAGGAGGCUAAAAAAAGAUGUGGUGUAACGGAUUCGAACACGAGUAUCUUAUGUAUAAUGUCAAGGUAUUUACCA
RNAcentral lists this long non-coding RNA (1369 nucleotides) under Lactuca sativa (garden lettuce). Its description in RNAcentral is "long non-coding RNA (LSAT_LNC005985)". The record is from RNAcentral. Lineage: Eukaryota; Viridiplantae; Streptophyta; Magnoliopsida; Asterales; Asteraceae.